This 84-nucleotide transfer RNA is filed under the name Bacteroidota bacterium. RNAcentral's name for it is "Bacteroidetes bacterium tRNA-Leu". It matches the Rfam family "tRNA". Rfam says of the family: Transfer RNA (tRNA) molecules are approximately 80 nucleotides in length. Their secondary structure includes four short double-helical elements and three loops (D, anti-codon, and T loops). Further hydrogen bonds mediate the characteristic L-shaped molecular structure. tRNAs have two regions of fundamental functional importance: the anti-codon, which is responsible for specific mRNA codon recognition, and the 3' end, to which the tRNAs corresponding amino acid is attached (by aminoacyl-tRNA synthetases). tRNAs cope with the degeneracy of the genetic code in two manners: having more than one tRNA (with a specific anti-codon) for a particular amino acid; and 'wobble' base-pairing, i.e. permitting non-standard base-pairing at the 3rd anti-codon position. Lineage: Bacteria; Pseudomonadati; Bacteroidota. The record is from RNAcentral. RNAcentral also lists the same sequence under 1 other name.
GCCGGAGUGGCGGAACUGGUAGACGCGCAGGUCUUAGGAACCUGUGUCCCUUCGGAUGUGUGGGUUCGAGUCCCACCUCCGGCA